UGGGGAAUAUUGGACAAUGGGCGCAAGCCUGAUCCAGCCAUGCCGCGUGAGUGAUGAAGGCCCUAGGGUUGUAAAGCUCUUUCACCGGUGAAGAUAAUGACGGUAACCGGAGAAGAAGCCCCGGCUAACUUCGUGCCAGCAGCCGCGGUAAUACGAAGGGGGCUAGCGUUGUUCGGAUUUACUGGGCGUAAAGCGCACGUAGGCGGACUAUUAAGUGAGUGGUGGAAUCCCGGGGCUCAACCCCGGAACUGCCUUUGAUACUGGUAGUCUUGAGUACGAGAGAGGUGAGUGGAAUUCCGAGUGUAGAGGUGAAAUUCGUAGAUAUUCGGCGGAACACCAGUGGCGAAGGCGGCUCACUGGCUCGAUACUGACGCUGAGGUGCGAAAGCGUGGGGAGCAAACAGG
This 404-nucleotide ribosomal RNA is filed under the name Actinomycetes bacterium. RNAcentral describes it as "Actinobacteria bacterium partial 16S ribosomal RNA". It matches the Rfam family "Bacterial small subunit ribosomal RNA", at positions 355 to 776 of the family's 1533-position model. The record is from RNAcentral. Lineage: Bacteria; Bacillati; Actinomycetota; Actinomycetes.